RNAcentral lists this non-coding RNA (123 nucleotides) under Dunaliella tertiolecta. The record is from RNAcentral. Lineage: Eukaryota; Viridiplantae; Chlorophyta; Chlorophyceae; Chlamydomonadales; Dunaliellaceae.
UACUUUUUUAUUUUUUACCCUCCUGAUAUAUGAUAUAUUGUGUGCAUAUAUGUAAUAUGUAAAUAUAUGUUUUUUUGCUCCUUAGAUCCCUUAUAUAUCUAUAUCUAUAUUAUCCCUUAAAAG